Molecule: ribosomal RNA, 418 nt
Filed under: uncultured eukaryote
Lineage: Eukaryota
Description: bacterial SSU rRNA
Rfam family: Eukaryotic small subunit ribosomal RNA
Source: RNAcentral
CAAUAGCGUAUAUUAAAGUUGUUGCAGUUAAAAAGCUCGUAGUUGGAUUUCUGGCCGAGUGUCCCUAGGCCAGCAUGACGUUUGGUCCUAGGCGCUCUGCCAUCCUUCUGUCAACCUUCGCCUUCUUCAUUGGGGGCGCUGGGGCUCAGAUAUUUUACCUUGAGAAAAUUAGAGUGUUCAAAGCGGGCGUUUGCUUGAAUAUAUUAGCAUGGAAUAAUGGAAUAGGACCCUGGUCCUAUUUUGUUGGUUUUGAGGACUAGAGUAAUGAUUAAUAGGGAUAGUUGGGGGCAUUCAUAUUUAAUUGUCAGAGGUGAAAUUCUUGGAUUUAUGAAAGAUGAACUUCUGCGAAAGCAUUUGCCAAGGAUGUUUUCAUUAAUCAAGAACGAAAGUUAGGGGAUCGAAGACGAUUAGAUACCGU